Molecule: unclassified non-coding RNA, 303 nt
Filed under: uncultured fungus
Lineage: Eukaryota; Fungi
Description: partial contains small subunit ribosomal RNA, internal transcribed spacer 1, and 5.8S ribosomal RNA
Rfam family: Eukaryotic small subunit ribosomal RNA (bases 1-73)
Source: RNAcentral
GCAAACUUGGUCAUUUAGAGGAAGUAAAAGUCGUAACAAGGUCUCCGUUGGUGAACCAGCGGAGGGAUCAUUACAGGGUCUUCGACUGCCCAAAAAACAACUGUGAACUCUUUUCCCUUUCUACCAGACUGCGGCGGGUGGCUCGCUGGAGGAGCCGCCAAAAGCCCGCCGGAGUCGCUGCUGAAGCUGUUGCGCCCCGACAUUCUUCAGGCUCGAUAGCGGCCCCUGCUUAGGCGGGGCUAAAAUUCAGUCACAACCCAUAACAAUGGAUCUCUUGGCUCCGGCAUCGAUGAAGAACGCAGC